This 404-nucleotide RNase P RNA is filed under the name Candidatus Omnitrophota bacterium. RNAcentral describes it as "Candidatus Omnitrophica bacterium RNase P RNA component class A". It matches the Rfam family "Bacterial RNase P class A". Rfam says of the family: Ribonuclease P (RNase P) is a ubiquitous endoribonuclease, found in archaea, bacteria and eukarya as well as chloroplasts and mitochondria. Its best characterised activity is the generation of mature 5'-ends of tRNAs by cleaving the 5'-leader elements of precursor-tRNAs. Cellular RNase Ps are ribonucleoproteins. The record is from RNAcentral. Lineage: Bacteria; Pseudomonadati; Candidatus Omnitrophota.
UAAGCAGAUCGGGUAACCGCCGUCUUUGUAAUGUUAAAGGUGGAGGAAAGUCCGAGCUCCGCAGAGCAGCGCAGCGGGUAACACCCGCCCUCCGGAAGGAGAGGAUAGCUCUUGAGUGAUUAUUUGCUUAAAGGGUGCCUUGCGGUGUUUUGAACAAAGCAAGGUAGAGCCACAGAGACGAGAUCUUACGCAUUAUUUGCGUAAGGGGUGAAACGAGGCAAUCUCUGCGCGGUGCAAGACCAAAUAGAUUCCGAAUUAGAAGUUGCUCGCUUCUACCGAAUAUGACGGUGUCGGAAUGGGUUGGGUCGCUAUGACCUCGCCAGCAAUGGCGGGGCAAGAGGAAUGGUUGCCUGCGAGAAUAAACGUCUCGCAUACAGAACUCGGCUUAUAGAUCCGCUUAUUUA